RNAcentral lists this ribosomal RNA (944 nucleotides) under Fusiturris similis. RNAcentral describes it as "small subunit ribosomal RNA". The stretch from base 236 to 942 matches the Rfam family "Microsporidia small subunit ribosomal RNA". The record is from RNAcentral. Lineage: Eukaryota; Metazoa; Mollusca; Gastropoda; Neogastropoda; Turridae.
CUGCGUUUAAUCCUUAUAAAAUUGAAUAUUAUUUUAAAUUUAUAAAAGAGAAACCAUUUUUCUUUUUAACAAAAACUUGGCUCUGAUUUAUUAAUAUGGCAUGAACUAGAAAAUACACAUGGUUUUUAUUGAAAGAGGCGAGGUAAGAAAAUAAAUAACUAAUGUUAUAAAAAUAUAAGCUAUUUUUUUCUUAAGGUAUUAUAGGGAUACAAAAUGUCUUGAAAAGUCCCGCUAGCACCAGUGUUGAAGCUUAAUUAAAAAGUGAAAGCUUGUAUUAGUCUAGUUAAAUAACUUUGGUUAAUUUGGUGCCAGCAUCCGCGGUUACACCAAAGAAUUAAGUCAUAUAAAUACGGUAAAAAGAUAGUUAAACUUAGAUUUUAUGUUUUUUAAUUAUUCAUAAAGAGGUAAAAUUUAAAUAUGAAUAACUAAUCUAAUGAAAACUAACAUGUUGAAGCUAUGACAGCCUUGAGGGAAACUGGGAUUAGAUACCCCACUAUUCUUGGCUAUAAAAUAAUUAAAUUUACCAGGGUACUACGAAUCGUUUAAAUUUAAAACUCAAAGGGCUUGGCGGUGUUUUAGACCCCUCAGGGGAACCUGUCUCAUAAUCGACAAUCCACGCUAAACCUGACCCUUUUUUGUUUUCAGUCUGUAUACCGUUGUCGUCAGGUAACUUUUUAGAGAUUAGAAGUUAGCUAUAAAUACAACUAAAUUAUAACGUCAAAUCAAGGUGCAGCUAAUGAAAGGGAGAGGAUGGGUUACAAUUAUUAAAUCAUAAUCACGGAAGCAACAGGAAUAAGGUUGCUAUGAAGGAGGACUUGAAAGUAAAUUAGACUAUAUAAAUAACUUGAAUAAGGCUCUGAAAUGUGUACACAUCGCCCGUCGCUCUUGUUGGAAAAUAAGAUAAGUCGUAACAUAGUAGGGGUAAUGGAAAUUGUUCCUAAACU